GUCCUGUUUCAUUUUUGGAAAAGAAUGGCAAGAGAAUUAUUGAGAUUAACAACAAAGCAGUUAGAAGGAUCUGCUUCUCAGGAAAGCAGAGGGUUCUUCCAGAAGAGGUUCCAUUUCCUGAACACGUGGGUACGGCCUUGACUUCCCCUCCAGUGUGAUCAGCUCAAUGUGAACGGUUUCCUCUCACUUGCCGUAGGCUGCCUCUGUUUGCUGUUCCAGUCCCCAGCCUCGUUUUCCUCAUCUGUAACAUGGACUGUAGCCAGAACUGUGGAGACCAGGGAAUUUGUAACAGAUGCAGCCCUCAGCGUACAAUAAUGGACUGUCCAGUGUGUGGCUUGCUCUUCUGCCUUCUCCUCAUUGUUACAGAGUCCAGAAACUUCUGAGGAGAGAACAACUCACCCUCACAUGGACUUAGUGAGUCACUGCAGUGCCUUUGUUUGUGAUUAGAUCUAAGUCAGCCAUCAUCGCAUAAAGGUAGGAAGACUUCGUGGUCCGUGUUGGGAAGCAGAAGCAGGAAAAGGACACGAGCCUGUUUGAGGAAGAAUCGAGACUUGAAGGUAGUAAGAUAUGAGUAGUAGCAAUUAGAGAGAGGUUAAGACGAUCUGCGGUGUAUCUGUGUCUGGCUACUGGUUUAAAAAGACAGAGAUUAGUAUUAAGAGAGAAGCUAAAAUAAAACAAACAAAUCACCCAUAUCUUUGCUCAGUGAUCUUCAUUAGAC
RNAcentral lists this long non-coding RNA (718 nucleotides) under Rattus norvegicus (Norway rat). RNAcentral describes it as "long non-coding RNA NONRATT032527". The record is from RNAcentral. Lineage: Eukaryota; Metazoa; Chordata; Mammalia; Rodentia; Muridae.